UACGUAGGGUGCAAGCGUUGUCCGGAAUUAUUGGGCGUAAAGAGCUCGUAGGCGGUUUGUCGCGUCUGCUGUGAAAACUCAGGGCUUAACUCUGAGCUUGCAGUGGGUACGGGCAGACUAGAGUGCGGUAGGGGAGACUGGAAUUGCUGGUGUAGCGGUGAAAUGCGCAGAUAUCAGGAGGAACACCGGUGGCGAAGGCGGGUCUCUGGGCCGUAACUGACGCUGAGGAGCGAAAGCAUGGGGAGCGAACAGG
RNAcentral lists this ribosomal RNA (253 nucleotides) under uncultured bacterium. RNAcentral describes it as "partial 16S ribosomal RNA". It matches the Rfam family "Bacterial small subunit ribosomal RNA", at positions 524 to 776 of the family's 1533-position model. The record is from RNAcentral.